ACACGUAGGAUGCAAGCGUUAUUCGGAUUUACUGGGCGUAAAGCGCGUGUAGGCGGUUAGGAGAGUUGGAUGUGAAAGCUCCCGGCUUAACUGGGAGAGGUCGUUCAAAACUUCCUGACUAGAGUUUGGUAGAGGAAAAUGGAAUUCCGGGUGUAGUGGUGAAAUGCGUAGAUAUCCGGAGGAACACCAGUGGCGAAAGCGAUUUUCUGGACCGAUACUGACGCUCAGACGCGAAAGCUAGGGUAGC
RNAcentral lists this ribosomal RNA (247 nucleotides) under uncultured bacterium. RNAcentral describes it as "partial 16S ribosomal RNA". It matches the Rfam family "Bacterial small subunit ribosomal RNA", at positions 523 to 769 of the family's 1533-position model. The record is from RNAcentral.